RNAcentral lists this long non-coding RNA (286 nucleotides) under Phascolarctos cinereus (koala). RNAcentral's name for it is "lncRNA (ENSPCIG00000029153.2)". The record is from RNAcentral. Lineage: Eukaryota; Metazoa; Chordata; Mammalia; Diprotodontia; Phascolarctidae.
GGAAACCAGCUUAUUAAAGGGAACCAUGGAAACAGGAAACAUUUUCAAAAGGAAAUGGAUCUUUUGGUGCAGUGGAGGCAUGAUAUCUAGUUUUUGUGAGGGCAGCAUCCAUCUACAUCAACUCUGUGCCCUGAAGAGAAUGGAAAGAAGAGGAAAAAAAAGCAGUGGGAGACAAGUUUAUGUGAAGGGGCAGUGUAUUAUAAAACUACCUACAUCAAACGAUCUCCAGAAAGUUAAAAUGAUGCCAAUGGAAAGCAGCUGUAGCCGAGAUUCUUAUCCAAGAUAA